RNAcentral lists this ribosomal RNA (301 nucleotides) under uncultured bacterium. RNAcentral describes it as "partial 16S ribosomal RNA". It matches the Rfam family "Bacterial small subunit ribosomal RNA", at positions 509 to 809 of the family's 1533-position model. The record is from RNAcentral.
CAGUCGCCGCGGUAAUACGAAGGGUGCAAGCGUUAAUCGGAAUUACUGGGCGUAAAGCGCACGUAGGCGGCUUGGUAAGUUAGAGGUGAAAGCCUGGAGCUCAACUCCAGAAUUGCCUUUAAGACUGCCGAGCUAGCAGGUGAGAGAGGUAAGUGGAAUUCCGAGUGUAGAGGUGAAAUUCGUAGAUAUUCGGAAGAACACCAGUGGCGAAGGCGGCUUACUGGCUCAUACUGGGCGCUGAGGUGCGAAAGCGUGGGGAGCAAACAGGAUUAGAUACCCGCGUAGUCCCUGUCUCUUAUAA